RNAcentral lists this ribosomal RNA (253 nucleotides) under uncultured bacterium. Its description in RNAcentral is "partial 16S ribosomal RNA". It matches the Rfam family "Bacterial small subunit ribosomal RNA", at positions 524 to 776 of the family's 1533-position model. The record is from RNAcentral.
UACAGAGGGGGCAAGCGUUGUUCGGAAUUACUGGGCGUAAAGGGCGCGUAGGCGGCCUGCUAAGUCGAACGUGAAAUCCCUGGGCUCAACCCAGGAACUGCGUCCGAUACUGGUUGGCUUGAAUCCGGGAGAGGGAUGUGGAAUUCCAGGUGUAGCGGUGAAAUGCGUAGAUAUCUGGAGGAACGCCGGUGGCGAAGGCGACAUCCUGGACCGGUAUUGACGCUGAGGCGCGAAAGCCAGGGGAGCAAACGGG